AAUGAACGCUGGCGGCAUGCUUUACACAUGCAAGUCGAACGGUAACAGGCUUUCGGGUGCUGACGAGUGGCGAACGGGCGAGUAAUGCAUCGGAACGUACCCAGAGCUGGGGGAUAAGGCAGCGAAAGCUGUGCUAAUACCGCACGUGAUCUGAGGAUGAAAGCGGGGGAGCGAGCAGCAAUGUUUGGCCUUGCGCCUUUGGAGCGGCCGAUGUCGGAUUAGUUAGUUGGUGGGGUAAUGGCCUACCAAGGCGGCGAACGGUAGCUGGUGUGAGAGGACGGCAGGCCACCCGGGGAGGGGGACAGGGACCAGACUCCUACGGGAGGGAGCAGUGGGGAAUGUUGGGCAGUAGGGGGAAGCCUUGUCCAACCAUCCCACGUGCGGGAAGGAGGCCUUCGGGUUGGAAAGCGCCUUUGGCAGGAGCGAAACGCUGUCCGCUAAUACCAAGCGCGAGUGACGGUACCUGGAGAAUAAGCACCGGCUAACUACGUG
RNAcentral lists this ribosomal RNA (492 nucleotides) under uncultured bacterium. RNAcentral describes it as "partial 16S ribosomal RNA". It matches the Rfam family "Bacterial small subunit ribosomal RNA", at positions 29 to 507 of the family's 1533-position model. The record is from RNAcentral.